RNAcentral lists this ribosomal RNA (497 nucleotides) under uncultured bacterium. RNAcentral's name for it is "partial 16S ribosomal RNA". It matches the Rfam family "Bacterial small subunit ribosomal RNA", at positions 28 to 507 of the family's 1533-position model. The record is from RNAcentral.
GAUGAACGCUGGCGGCGUGCCUAAUACAUGCAAGUCGAGCGAACAGACGAGGAGCUUGCUCCUCUGACGUUAGCGGCGGACGGGUGAGUAACACGUGGAUAACCUACCUAUAAGACUGGGAUAACUUCGGGAAACCGGAGCUAAUACCGGAUAAUAUAUUGAACCGCAUGGUUCAAUAGUGAAAGACGGUUUUGCUGUCACUUAUAGAUGGAUCCGCGCCGCAUUAGCUAGUUGGUAAGGUAACGGCUUACCAAGGCAACGAUGCGUAGCCGACCUGAGAGGGUGAUCGGCCACACUGGAACUGAGACACGGUCCAGUCUCCUACGGGAGGCAGCAGCAGGGAAUCUUCCGCAAAGGGCGAAAGCCUGACGGAGCAACGCCGCGUGAGUGAUGAAGGUCUUCGGAUCGUAAAACUCUGUUAUUAGGGAAGAACAAAUGUGUAAGUAACUAUGCACGUCUUGACGGUACCUAAUCAGAAAGCCACGGCUAACUACGUG